Molecule: ribosomal RNA, 258 nt
Filed under: uncultured bacterium
Lineage: Bacteria
Description: partial 16S ribosomal RNA
Rfam family: Bacterial small subunit ribosomal RNA
Source: RNAcentral
UGGCGGACGGGUGAGUAACGCGUGGGUAACCUACCUCAUACAGGGGGAUAACAGUUGGAAACGACCGCUAAUACCGCAUAACCCGCUAGUAUCGCAUGAUACGGACGGAAAAGAUUUAUCGGUAUGAGAUGGACCCGCGUCUGAUUAGCCAGUUGGCAGGGUAACGGCCUACCAAAGCAACGAUCAGUAGCCGGCCUGAGAGGGUGAACGGCCACAUUGGGACUGAGACACGGCCCAAACUCCUACGGGAGGCAGCAG